UCCUACGGGCGCAGCAGUGGGGAAUUUUGGACAAUGGGCGCAAGCCUGAUCCAGCUAUUCCGCGUGUGGGAUGAAGGCCCUCGGGUUGUAAACCACUUUUGUAGAGAACGAAAAGACACCUUCGAAUAAAGGGUGUUGCUGACGGUACUCUAAGAAUAAGCACCGGCUAACUCCGUGCCAGCAGCCGCGGUAAUACGGAGGAUGCGAGCGUUAUCCGGAUUUAUUGGGUUUAAAGGGUGCGUAGGCGGAAUGCCAAGUCAGCGGUAAAAUCGCGGGGCUCAACCUCGCUCCGCCGUUGAAACUGG
RNAcentral lists this ribosomal RNA (305 nucleotides) under uncultured bacterium. Its description in RNAcentral is "bacterial SSU rRNA". It matches the Rfam family "Bacterial small subunit ribosomal RNA", at positions 337 to 636 of the family's 1533-position model. The record is from RNAcentral.